UUUCCCAGGAGUAUACCAUGGCAGGGGAUCAAAAUUCCACAGGUAUCUUUGCCCUGUUUGUAGAAAACAACUCACUACAAAAUUGGGACUACAGCGACAUCUAGAAGUUCAUGCCCCAGUCAGAAAUUUAUAUCAAUGUGUACUUUGUUUGGUAUAUGAAGGUGGGUGUAGACCAACCUUAUUCUCAGCAUCUACAAGCAUGUAGCAGAGAGCUAUUCAAUAAACUAUUGAAUGAUUAUGUGGAUAUGACACAACAGACUAAUCGAGGAAAAUUAGGCUGAAGUUACUAUAAGAAUUUUGGAAAAAGUUAUUGCUUUGUUUAGGGAUUUCCAGCUUUUCCUGAGCAGCCAGAAUUCAAAUGUCAGUUAUGUCAUAAAACUUUCCGUUCCUAUAAGUCUGAGAUGAUGCACUUUCACUAUCAACACAAGAGUCACCGGAAUUUUCCAUGUAACGUUUGUGGGAAGACUUUCACCAGAAAGCAUACAAUGGUUAUGCACUUUCGUGCACAGCAUAUUCUAAAAAACAACUUAUACUGAUUACAUUUUUUAAUUUGUUGACUUGGAUGCAUUUUUUACAAGUUCUGAUAUGUACAAGGUCAUAUUUAUAAAAUGCGUUGGUUUGGAGAGAGUGGUUUAGAAAGCCUAGUAUAGUCUUGAAAAUAAGCUAUUUUUCUAAAGUAGUGAAUCAGAUUGUAUUUUAGUUGAGUACAUGUAGUUGCUCUGUUUCUGUAUAUUUAUUACAGAAAUAUCUUUCUUGCUUAUUAAUUAAAUUAUUUUAGUAAGAACUAUAUGAGAUUUGCAUUUUUUACUAGAUUUUGAAGGAGAACUGUCGAUAUACCUUCUGUACAUCGCAGACUGAUGUUAUUAAAUAUUAAUUUGAAAAAUAAUGUAAUAUGUUCUUAGAUUUUAAGUCAUUAUGGUCUUAUUUGUUUCAUGUUAACUAAUGUUCCAAUUUAUAAAUGUAAGAUUUGUUUAUUACUAAUUCUAAAGAAAAUAUGAUGAAUAGGGUGAUGACAUGAUACUUUUGUGAGUUAAUUAAUUGGAAAAUUAAAAAAAUAAGUCAUUUAGUGAAUAAUAUGUCUUAUCUAAGAAGUAAAAGAUUAAGAGGUCAUACACAUGUAUGAAUUAUUUUUUGUUAUUUUUAGCUUAUCGUAAUGAAUUUGAAAACACGAGUUAGUAUUUGGUGAACAGCGAUGUAUAAAUUUGACUUCAAAGGUUAUAAUCAGCCAUCAAUCAAUAUAUGAAACUUUACAAGCAAAAUCACUAAUUGUUCACUUGGAUGUUUGUCGAAUUAAUCCUUAGUUUUAAAACAUAUUUAGUUUUAAGUAGGACUGGACUAUGUAAGUUCAAUAAAUGAACUAGCUACUGUGUACAGGUUUCUGUGUUUUUUCAGUGACAGGUGUAAUGAUAAUUGUUCAGUACAGUUGAUGAACACAAUAGAGUUUAAUUCAAUAGCUGAAGGGAAGGAAUUUCCUUCACAUAUAAUAAGAACUACACACAUUAAGUAAAACAAGUUUUUCAAUAGAUUGCUGGAUGUUUUAUCACAGUCAUUUUUAGCCCACUCUAUAUAAAAUUGAGUUUAGAUUGUCAAUAAACAGUGAAUUAUUUUAACAGUACUCGUAUAUAUUUUUAUUUUUCAAAAAAAAGUUUUUAUUUUAGGGUAGUGGAACUUUGGUUUAGUAGCUUUUGUUGUUUCAUAACUGCUCAUUUACAACUAUUUUGUUAUUCCAAAAACUGAUGCUACACACAAUAGAAAGGCAGUAUUAUUCCUGAAUAUACCCAACUGUCUAAUUACCUUAAAUAUCUUUUGUAACCAUUAUACUGUUUUAAAUCCUUUUUUUUUUUCACAUUGUUACCACAAACUUGCAAAUUUUACUGAGCUUACAUUAAAGUAAAGUUAAAUGCCACAUUCAUGCAAUUACUGUCAGCAUCUGAUUAGGGCACUGUAACAGAAUGCACAUGAUAAAAGUCUUAAAGAUUCAUCACUAUCAAAAUAGUAUUAUGGUAUUUCAAUUUGUCUAAAUAGUUCUGUAGAAAUUCAUGUUGCAAAUAUGGGGAUGCUGUUGAUUUAAAUUAUCUGUAAAGAAGAAAAAUAAGGUAUCUCAAUGUCAGGUGGACUGUCAUCUCUGAUUUCAGUAAGAAGAAAAAUCAUUACCUUUCCUUUCUAAUCUAUAUUGCUAAUUUUACUCCAACUGCAUUCAAGAUUGGAAGAUGUAUUGUGUAGGUUUGUUUGAAAAUUGUUUUUGACAUGUGAUCUAUCUCUUGAAAAAUGAUGUUAAAUUAAUAAUUUACUUUUAAAUACUGUGAUAAUAGAAUGAGUGGACAAUGUUUUUUAAAAAAAUAAUACAAUAUUGGGUUAGAUUUGGAAGCACAUCUGGUGCCGGAAGUUUAACCAAACAAUAAUAUUGCUCACAAAAACCUUCUUUGUUACUGUGAAACUUUAAUAACUGCUUUAAAUGCUUUUAAGUAAUUACAGCAAGUAAUUUGUAAAUAUUUAAAAAAUAUUAUUCAGUUUUUAUGUGUUUACAGUUGUUUAAGGGUUAAAUCAGUUUGAAAAUGAUUUAGGAAAAUAAAGAAAAUAUAUUGGCUUUUAAGUGGUGUACAAUUGCUUUUAUAAAAUACUACAGAAAAGCUUCUUUUUUUAUCAGGGUGCAUUUAGAUGUAUUAUUGAGAGAAAUUAUUUCAUUAAAGGUUUUUUCGAAUUUGAAAUGAGAGAAAUAAAUUCAAAUUCACCAGUUUGAUGUUACGGCUUAAAAGUGUUUGAAGUAGUACCUGUUUUCUUGGUUGGCUUAUACAUGAAACUACACUUUGAAAAGAAAGAAAAUCUUUGUUUUCAUGAUAUUUCAUUAUCCUGUGUUUUAUAUUUACUUUCUUGCUACUAAGUAUUUUAUGAAAAAAACAGAAUAUUAUCUUUACAGGUCACUAUCCCUUUGGGCCACAGUAUGUGUGUGAAGUUUGUCAUAAAACUUUUAAAACCUAUUGCACUAUGAAAUCCCACCAUCAUCAUCAACACAAAAGUCAUCGAAAUUUUCCGUGCUUUGUCUGUGGAAAAAUCUUCACUAGAAAACAUGCCAUGGAAGUUCAUUGUCGUGUAAAGCAUCAGUAGUUGAAACUUCUGCUUUGUAAAAAAGGGGCUUAGUUCAUUAUCUUUUAGCAGUUUUUUAUGGUAUAUUUUUAUAAACGAGCAGCACAAGUUCUUGGGAAAAUGUUUGAAUAUUUUUUCUUUCCUGCCUUGUGUGUCAUUAAAAUGUACUGUAAUAUUUUUGUUUUGAAACAACUAUCAUAUGUAUGUGUGUGUGUGUGUAAUUUUUUCUUGAAUAGAUACUAUGUUUGAAACGUUGUUUACAUCCAUUUAUAAAAAUUGUACCUGUCACCAUAAAACAGCCAAUUUUUCAUGAUUACUCUUAAACUAAUAGGUUAAAGUUCUACUAAUAUAACAUUUUAUAUACACUUCUUUAAAUACCCUUCCUAAAUGUAAAACCAAUGAUUUAAAUUAUCUGAUACACUAAAUACAAUGGUACCUAUAACAUACUAAAAUAUGUUUGAUUUUGUUUGUCAGUAAAUCUGCAAAUUUUCUUUAACCCAAAACAAUCUGUUCGUAAUAAUAAUUAUACUUCAAGGUUUUUCAUUAUAAUAUUAUUGUAGACUAAGUAAGUGAUUCUAAGGUACA
This is a long non-coding RNA of Limulus polyphemus (Atlantic horseshoe crab), 3669 nucleotides long. RefSeq lists it as uncharacterized. NCBI's taxonomy places the organism in Eukaryota, Metazoa, Arthropoda, Merostomata, Xiphosura, Limulidae. The transcript has 3 exons. The record is from RefSeq and is a predicted model, not a curated record.